CUACGGGCGGCUCCAGUGAGGAAUAUUGCACAAUGGGGGGAACCCUGAUGCAGCAACGCCGCGUGGAGGAUGACGCAUUUCGGUGUGUAAACUCCUUUUAUAUAUCAAGAAAAUGACGGUAGCAUAUGAAUAAGCACCGGCUAACUCCGUGCCAGCAGCCGCGGUAAUACGGAGGGUGCAAGCGUUACUCGGAAUCACUGGGCGUAAAGGACGCGUAGGCGGGUUGGAAAGUCAGGUGUGAAAUCCUACAGCUUAACUGUAGAACUGAACUUGAAACUUCUAAUCUAGAGGAUGGGAGGGGGAGAUGGAAUUAGUGGUGUAGGGGUAAAAUCCGUAGAUAUCACUAGGAAUACCUAAAGCGAAGGCGAUCUCCUGGAACAUUACUGACGCUAAGGCGUGAAAGCGUGGGGAGCAAACAGGAUUAGAUACCCCAGUAGUC
This 439-nucleotide ribosomal RNA is filed under the name uncultured bacterium. RNAcentral's name for it is "partial 16S ribosomal RNA". It matches the Rfam family "Bacterial small subunit ribosomal RNA", at positions 339 to 795 of the family's 1533-position model. The record is from RNAcentral.